UACGGGGGGGGCAAGCGUUGUUCGGAAUCAUUGGGCGUAAAGAGUGUGUAGGCGGUGCUCUAAGUCUGUUGUGAAAUCUCCCGGCUUAACUGGGAGGGUGCGGCGGAGACUGGAGUGCUAGAGUGUGGGAGAGGUAAGCGGAAUUCCUGGUGUAGCGGUGAAAUGCGUAGAUAUCAGGAGGAACACCUGUGGUGUAGACAGCUUACUGGACCACGACUGACGCUGAGACACGAAAGCGUGGGUAGCAAACAGG
This 253-nucleotide ribosomal RNA is filed under the name uncultured bacterium. RNAcentral's name for it is "partial 16S ribosomal RNA". It matches the Rfam family "Bacterial small subunit ribosomal RNA", at positions 524 to 776 of the family's 1533-position model. The record is from RNAcentral.